GGUUGCGAUCAUACCAGCACUAAUGCACCGGAUCCCAUCAGAACUCCGCAGCUAAGCGUGCUUGGGCGAGAGUAGUACUAGGAUGGGUGACCCCCUAGGAAGUCCUCGUGUUGCAACCC
Molecule: ribosomal RNA, 119 nt
Filed under: Helianthus annuus (common sunflower)
Lineage: Eukaryota; Viridiplantae; Streptophyta; Magnoliopsida; Asterales; Asteraceae
Source: RNAcentral